RNAcentral lists this ribosomal RNA (542 nucleotides) under uncultured archaeon. RNAcentral describes it as "bacterial SSU rRNA". It matches the Rfam family "Archaeal small subunit ribosomal RNA", at positions 457 to 997 of the family's 1478-position model. The record is from RNAcentral.
GGCAGCCGCCGCGGUAACACCGGCGGCCCGAGUGGUGAUCGUGAUAUUGGGUCUAAAGGGUCCGUAGCCGGUUUGGUCAGUCCUCCGGGAAAUCUGAUAGCUCAACUAUUAGGCUUUCGGGGGAUACUGCCAGACUUGGAACCGGGAGAGGUAAGAGGUACGUACAGGGGGUAGGAGUGAAAUCUUGUAAUCCCUGUGGGACCACCUGUGGCGAAGGCGUCUUACCAGAACGGGUUCGACGGUGAGGACGAAAGCUGGGGGCACGAACCGGAUUAGAUACCCGGGUAGUCCCAGCCGUAAACGAUGCUCGCUAGGUGUCAGGCAUGGCGCGACCGUGUCUGGUGCCGCAGGGAAGCCGUGAAGCGAGCCACCUGGGAAGUACGGCCGCAAGGCUGAAACUUAAAGGAAUUGGCGGGGGAGCACAUCAACGGGUGGAAGCCUGCGGUUUAAUUGGACUCAACGCCGGACAACUCACCGGGGGCGACAGCAAUAUGUAGGCCAAGCUGAAGACUUUGCCUGAAUCGCUGAGGGGAGGUGCAUGG